Molecule: ribosomal RNA, 472 nt
Filed under: bacterium 4746K6-B2
Lineage: Bacteria
Description: bacterial SSU rRNA
Rfam family: Bacterial small subunit ribosomal RNA
Source: RNAcentral
GUCGAGCGGUAACAGAAAGUAGCUUGCUACUUUGCUGACGAGCGGCGGACGGGUGAGUAAUGCUUGGGAACAUGCCUUGAGGUGGGGGACAACAGUUGGAAACGACUGCUAAUACCGCAUAAUGUCUACGGACCAAAGGGGGCUUCGGCUCUCGCCUUUAGAUUGGCCCAAGUGGGAUUAGCUAGUUGGUGAGGUAAUGGCUCACCAAGGCGACGAUCCCUAGCUGGUUUGAGAGGAUGAUCAGCCACACUGGGACUGAGACACGGCCCAGACUCCUACGGGAGGCAGCAGUGGGGAAUAUUGCACAAUGGGCGCAAGCCUGAUGCAGCCAUGCCGCGUGUGUGAAGAAGGCCUUCGGGUUGUAAAGCACUUUCAGUCAGGAGGAAAGGUUAGUAGUUAAUACCUGCUAGCUGUGACGUUACUGACAGAAGAAGCACCGGCUAACUCCGUGCCAGCAGCCGCGGUAAUACGG